AACAGAGCUGAUGACAUCACUGAUGACAUCAGCAUCAUUGAUGAUGCUGAUGUCAUCAGUGAUGUCAUCAGCUCUGUU
This 78-nucleotide microRNA precursor is filed under the name Xyrichtys novacula (pearly razorfish). The record is from RNAcentral. Lineage: Eukaryota; Metazoa; Chordata; Actinopteri; Labriformes; Labridae.